RNAcentral lists this unclassified non-coding RNA (22 nucleotides) under Mus musculus (house mouse). RNAcentral's name for it is "oocyte_clustered_small_RNA9886". The record is from RNAcentral. Lineage: Eukaryota; Metazoa; Chordata; Mammalia; Rodentia; Muridae.
CUCACCUACUUGCUGCAGAACU